GACGAACGCUGGCGGCGUGCUUAACACAUGCAAGUCGAGCGGAGCGGCGAACGGGUGAGUAACGCGUGAGUAACUGCCCCCCUCUCUGGGAUAACAGUUGGAAACGGGUGCUAAUACCGGAUAGUGGGGGAUGACUCGCGUCCUAUUAGCUUGUUGGUGGGGUAGUGGCCUAACAAGGCGACGACGGGUAGCCGGCCUGAGAGGGCGACCGGCCACAUUGGGCUGGGAUACGGCCCAAACUCCUACGGGAGGCAGCAGUGGGGAAGGUUGCGCAAUGAGGGAGACCGUGAUGCAGCAACGCGCGUGCGGGAUGACGGCCUUCGGGUUGUAAACCGCUUUCAGCCAUGACGCGGUAGUGGCAGAAGAAGCACCGGCUGACUACGUGCCAUCAGCCGCUGUAAUUC
Molecule: ribosomal RNA, 404 nt
Filed under: uncultured bacterium
Lineage: Bacteria
Description: partial 16S ribosomal RNA
Rfam family: Bacterial small subunit ribosomal RNA
Source: RNAcentral